Molecule: ribosomal RNA, 277 nt
Filed under: uncultured eukaryote
Lineage: Eukaryota
Description: partial 18S ribosomal RNA
Rfam family: Eukaryotic small subunit ribosomal RNA
Source: RNAcentral
UAGUCAUAUGCUUGUCUCAAAGAUUAAGCCAUGCAUGUCUAAGUAUAAACAAGUUUAUACUGUGAAACUGCGCACAGCUCAUUAUAUCAGCAAUAAUUUAUUUGAUGGUACCUUACUACAUGGAUACCCGUAGUAAUUCUAGAGCUAAUACAUGCGUAAAGUCCCGACUCUUCUGGGAAGGGAUGUAUUUAUUAGAUUUGGUGAUUCAUAGUAACUGUUCGAAUCGCAUGGCCUCGUGCUGGCGAUAGUUCAUUCAAAUUUCUGCCCUAUCAGCUUU